ACAUGAUAAGCUAUCUGCUGAUCAGGGAGUCUCCUGUUUCUGCUUUGGAAUGAAAUAGUGCGGGGGGGGGAGUUCUAUCCCCCCCUUCCAUCAUUGUGUCCAAAAUCUUUAAAAAAAAAAUCUUAUUGGGUUUCUCAGAGACCUCUGGUAGCACUUUGAGCAGCAGCAAAACAAUAACACAAAACACAAAAAUUGUGCAUGUAGGAGUUAAAAGUAAGUCGUGGAGAGGAGAAGCAGGGAGGGUGGUUGGAGUUGCUAAGGCCUCUUGUGUAGUGGAAAUAUAUAUAUAUAUAUAUAUAUAUAUAUAUAUAUAUAUAUAUAUAUCAGAUAAUCCGAAAAGGAGAUACAGAGGGCACUUGGAGCCAUUCAUUGUUGUUGUUUGCUCUGCUUUCAUUCAGUUUGACUCGCUACUUCUCAGUUGUAUUAAGCAUGACCCAAACUAAAGGGACGAAAUGAAAUUAAACUUUUAUUACUUGAAGGAG
Molecule: non-coding RNA, 482 nt
Organism: Podarcis lilfordi (Lilford's wall lizard)
Lineage: Eukaryota; Metazoa; Chordata; Lepidosauria; Squamata; Lacertidae
Source: the annotation of a GenBank genome assembly